UACGAAGGGGACUAGCGUUGUCCGGAAUUAUUGGGCGUAAAGAGCUCGUAGGCGGUGUGUCGCGUCGGCCGUGAAAACCUGCAGCUUAACUGUGGGCUUGCGGUCGAUACGGGCAUCACUGGAGUUCGGCAGGGGAGACUGGAAUUCCUGGUGUAGCGGUGAAAUGCGCAGAUAUCAGGAGGAACACCGGUGGCGAAGGCGGGUCUCUGGGCCGAUACUGACGCUGAGGAGCGAAAGCGUGGGGAGCGAACAGG
Molecule: ribosomal RNA, 254 nt
Filed under: uncultured bacterium
Lineage: Bacteria
Description: partial 16S ribosomal RNA
Rfam family: Bacterial small subunit ribosomal RNA
Source: RNAcentral